CCUACGGGUGGCAGCAGUGGGGGCUAUUGCACAAUGGGGGAAACCCUGAUGCAGCGACGCCGCGUGAAUGAAGAAGUAUUUCGGUCUGUAAAGCUCUAUCUGCAGGGAAGCAAAUGCCAGUACCUGACCAAGAAGCCCCGGCUAACUACGUCCCAGCAGCCGCGGUAAUACGUAGGGGGCAAUCGUUAUCCGGAUUUACUGGGUGUAAAGGGAGCGUAGACGGGUAUGUAAGUCUGGAGUGAAAGCCCGGGGCCCAACCCCGGGACUGCGUUUGAAACUGUGUAACUUGAGUACAGGAGGGGCAGGCGGAAUUCCUGGUGUAGCGGUGAAAUGCGUAGAUAUCAGGAGGAACACCGGCGGCGAAGGCGGCCUGCUGGACUGAAACUGACGUUGAGGCUCGAAAGCGUGGGGAGCAAACAGGAUUAGAUACCCGGGUAGUC
This 440-nucleotide ribosomal RNA is filed under the name uncultured bacterium. RNAcentral's name for it is "partial 16S ribosomal RNA". It matches the Rfam family "Bacterial small subunit ribosomal RNA", at positions 338 to 795 of the family's 1533-position model. The record is from RNAcentral.